AUUGAACGCUGGCGGAAUGCUUUACACAUGCAAGUCGAACGGCAGCACGGACUUCGGUCUGGUGGCGAGUGGCGAACGGGUGAGUAAUGUAUCGGAACGUGCCCAGUCGUGGGGGAUAACGUAGUGAAAAUUACGCUAAUACCGCAUACGAUCUAUGGAUGAAAGCGGGGGAUCGCAAGACCUCGCGCGAUUGGAGCGGCCGAUAUCAGAUUAGGGAGUUGGUGGGGUAAAGGCCCACCAAGCCAACGAUCUGUAGCUGGUCUGGGAGGACGACCAGCCACACUGGAACUGAGACACGGUCCAGACUCCUACGGGAGGCAGCAGUGGGGAAUUUUGGACAAUGGGCGAAAGCCUGAUCCAGCCAUUCCGCGUGCAGGAUGAAGGCCCUCGGGUUGUAAACUGCUUUUGUACAGAACGAAAAGGUUUCUACUAAUACUAGGAGCUCAUGACGGUACUGUAAGAAUAAGCACCGGCUAACUACGUGCCAGCAGCCGCAGUAA
This 500-nucleotide ribosomal RNA is filed under the name uncultured bacterium. Its description in RNAcentral is "partial 16S ribosomal RNA". It matches the Rfam family "Bacterial small subunit ribosomal RNA", at positions 30 to 523 of the family's 1533-position model. The record is from RNAcentral.